This 497-nucleotide ribosomal RNA is filed under the name uncultured bacterium. RNAcentral describes it as "partial 16S ribosomal RNA". It matches the Rfam family "Bacterial small subunit ribosomal RNA", at positions 28 to 507 of the family's 1533-position model. The record is from RNAcentral.
GAUGAACGCUGGCGGCGUGCCUAAUACAUGCAAGUCGAGCGAAAGGACGCGAAGCUUGUUUCUCUGACGUUAGCGGAGGACGGGUGAGAAACACGUGGAUAAUCCACCUAUCUUACUGGGAACACCUCGGGAAACGGGCGAUAACAGCGGAUAAUCUUCUGAACCGCAUGGUUCAAUAGAGAAAGUCGGUCUUGCUGUAUCUUAUAGAUGGAUCCGCGCUGCUUUAGAUAGUUGGUAAGGUAACGGCUUAUCAAGGCGACGAUGCAUAGCCGACCGGAGAGGGUGAUCGGCGACACUGGAGCUUGAACGCGGUCCAGGCUACUACGGGAGGGAGCAGUAGGGAAUCGUCGGCAGUGGUCGGAAGCCUGACGGAGCGACGCCGCGUGAGUGGUGAAAAUCUUCGGAGCGGAAAACUCUGUUAUUAGUUGAGAACAGAUGUGGAAUUAACUGAGCAGAGCGUGACAGUAACUAGUCAGGAAGCCACGGCUAACUACGUG